CAGGAAAAGCCUCUAAGCAUCAGGUAACAUCAAAUCGUACCCCAAACCGACACAGGUGGUCAGGUAGAGAAUACCAAGGCGCUUGAGAGAACUCGGGUGAAGGAACUAGGCAAAAUGGUGCCGUAACUUCGGGAGAAGGCACGCUGACACGUAGGUGAAGUGAUUUACUCAUGGAGCUGAAGUCAGUCGAAGAUACCAGCUGGCUGCAACUGUUUAUUAAAAACACAGCACUGUGCAAACACGAAAGUGGACGUAUACGGUGUGACGCCUGCCCGGUGCCGGAAGGUUAAUUGAUGGGGUCAGCGCAAGCGAAGCUCCUGAUCGAAGCCCCGGUAAACGGCGGCCGUAACUAUAACGGUCCUAAGGUAGCGAAAUUCCUUGUCGGGUAAGUUCCGACCUGCACGAAUGGCGUAAUGAUGGCCAGGCUGUCUCCACCCGAGACUCAGUGAAAUUGAACUCGCUGUGAAGAUGCAGUGUACCCGCGGCAAGACGGAAAGACCCCGUGAACCUUUACUAUAGCUUGACACUGAACAUUGAGCCUUGAUGUGUAGGAUAGGUGGGAGGCUUUGAAGUGUGGACGCCAGUCUGCAUGGAGCCGACCUUGAAAUACCACCCUUUAAUGUUUGAUGUUCUAACGUGGACCCGUUACCCGGGUUGCGGACAGUGUCUGGUGGGUAGUUUGACUGGGGCGGUCUCCUCCUAAAGAGUAACGGAGGAGCACGAAGGUUGGCUAAUCCUGGUCGGACAUCAGGAGGUUAGUGCAAUGGCAUAAGCCAGCUUGACUGCGAGCGUGACGGCGCGAGCAGGUGCGAAAGCAGGUCAUAGUGAUCCGGUGGUUCUGAAUGGAAGGGCCAUCGCUCAACGGAUAAAAGGUACUCCGGGGAUAACAGGCUGAUACCGCCCAAGAGUUCAUAUCGACGGCGGUGUUUGGCACCUCGAUGUCGGCUCAUCACAUCCUGGGGCUGAAGUAGGUCCCAAGGGUAUGGCUGUUCGCCAUUUAAAGUGGUACGCGAGCUGGGUUUAGAACGUCGUGAGACAGUUCGGUCCCUAUCUGCCGUGGGCGCUGGAGAACUGAGGGGGGCUGCUCCUAGUACGAGAGGACCGGAGUGGACGCAUCACUGGUGUUCGGGUUGUCAUGCCAAUGGCACUGCCCGGUAGCUAAAUGCGGAAGAGAUAAGUGCUGAAAGCAUCUAAGCACGAAACUUGCCCCGAGAUGAGUUCUCCCUGAGACUUAAAGUCUCCUGAAGGAACGUUGAAGACGACGACGUUGAUAGGCCGGGUGUGUAAGCGCAGCGAUGCGUUGAGCUAACCGGUACUAAUGAACCGUGAGGCUUAACCCUA
This 1341-nucleotide ribosomal RNA is filed under the name Salmonella enterica subsp. enterica serovar Dublin. Its description in RNAcentral is "bacterial LSU rRNA". It matches the Rfam family "Bacterial large subunit ribosomal RNA", at positions 1609 to 2925 of the family's 2925-position model. The record is from RNAcentral. Lineage: Bacteria; Pseudomonadati; Pseudomonadota; Gammaproteobacteria; Enterobacterales; Enterobacteriaceae.